This 527-nucleotide ribosomal RNA is filed under the name uncultured bacterium. RNAcentral describes it as "bacterial SSU rRNA". It matches the Rfam family "Bacterial small subunit ribosomal RNA", at positions 777 to 1300 of the family's 1533-position model. The record is from RNAcentral.
AAUAGAUACCCCGGUAGUCCACGCAGUAAACGAUGCAGACUAGGCGUGGGGGGGACUUGACCCCAUCCGUGCCGGAGCCAACGCGGUAAGUCUGCCGCCUGGGGAGUACGGCCGCAAGGCUAAAACUCAAAGGAAUUGACGGGGCCCCGCACAAGCGGCGGAGCAUGCGGAUUAAUUCGAUGCAACGCGUAGAACCUUACCUGGGUUUGACAUGGAUCGGGAGUGCUCAGAGAUGGGUGUGCCUCUUUUGGGGUCGGUUCACAGGUGGUGCAUGGCUGUCGUCAGCUCGUGUCGUGAGAUGUUGGGUUAAGUCCCGCAACGAGCGCAACCCUUGUUCACUGUUGCCAGCACGUUAUGGUGGGGACUCAGUGGAGACCGCCGGGGUCAACUCGGAGGAAGGUGGGGAUGACGUCAAGUCAUCAUGCCCCUUAUGUCCAGGGCUUCACGCAUGCUACAAUGGCUGGUACAGAGAGUGGCGAGCCUGUGAGGGUGAGCGAAUCUCGGAAAGCCGGUCUCAGUUCGGAGUU